Molecule: ribosomal RNA, 1029 nt
Filed under: Cladosporium sp.
Lineage: Eukaryota; Fungi; Ascomycota; Dothideomycetes; Cladosporiales; Cladosporiaceae
Description: SSU rRNA
Rfam family: Eukaryotic small subunit ribosomal RNA
Source: RNAcentral
UAAGCAACUAUACGGUGAAACUGCGAAUGGCUCAUUAAAUCAGUUAUCGUUUAUUUGAUAGUACCUUACUACAUGGAUAACCGUGGUAAUUCUAGAGCUAAUACAUGCUAAAAACCUCGACUUCGGAAGGGGUGUAUUUAUUAGAUAAAAAACCAAUGCCCUUCGGGGCUCCUUGGUGAAUCAUAAUAACUUAACGAAUCGCAUGGCCUUGCGCCGGCGAUGGUUCAUUCAAAUUUCUGCCCUAUCAACUUUCGAUGGUAGGAUAGUGGCCUACCAUGGUAUCAACGGGUAACGGGGAAUUAGGGUUCGACUCCGGAGAGGGAGCCUGAGAAACGGCUACCACAUCCAAGGAAGGCAGCAGGCGCGCAAAUUACCCAAUCCCGACACGGGGAGGUAGUGACAAUAAAUACUGAUACAGGGCUCUUUUGGGUCUUGUAAUUGGAAUGAGUACAAUUUAAAUCCCUUAACGAGGAACAAUUGGAGGGCAAGUCUGGUGCCAGCAGCCGCGGUAAUUCCAGCUCCAAUAGCGUAUAUUAAAGUUGUUGCAGUUAAAAAGCUCGUAGUUGAACCUUGGGCCUGGCUGGCCGGUCCGCCUCACCGCGUGUACUGGUCCGGCCGGGCCUUUCCUUCUGGGGAACCUCAUGCCCUUCACUGGGCGUGUUGGGGAACCAGGACUUUUACUUUGAAAAAAUUAGAGUGUUCAAAGCAGGCCUUUGCUCGAAUACAUUAGCAUGGAAUAAUAGAAUAGGACGUGUGGUUCUAUUUUGUUGGUUUCUAGGACCGCCGUAAUGAUUAAUAGGGAUAGUCGGGGGCAUCAGUAUUCAAUCGUCAGAGGUGAAAUUCUUGGAUUGAUUGAAGACUAACUACUGCGAAAGCAUUUGCCAAGGAUGUUUUCAUUAAUCAGUGAACGAAAGUUAGGGGAUCGAAGACGAUCAGAUACCGUCGUAGUCUUAACCAUAAACUAUGCCGACUAGGGAUCGGACGGUGUUAGUAUUUUGACCCGUUCGGCACCUUACGAGAAAUCAAAGG